This 253-nucleotide ribosomal RNA is filed under the name uncultured bacterium. Its description in RNAcentral is "partial 16S ribosomal RNA". It matches the Rfam family "Bacterial small subunit ribosomal RNA", at positions 524 to 776 of the family's 1533-position model. The record is from RNAcentral.
UACGUAGGGGGCGAGCGUUGUCCGGAGUUACUGGGCGUAAAGCGCUUGUAGGCGGUCCACCAAGUUUGGGGUGACAGUUGCCGACUUAAUCGACAAAGUGCCUCAAAGACUGGCGGACUUGAGGGCCACAGAGGGACAUGGAACUCCAGGUGUAGUGGUGAAAUGCGUAGAUAUCUGGAAGAACACCAAAGGCGAAGGCAGUGUCCUGGGUGGUCGCUGACGCUGAGAGGCGAAAGCCAGGGGAGCGAACGGG